Molecule: ribosomal RNA, 472 nt
Filed under: uncultured bacterium
Lineage: Bacteria
Description: bacterial SSU rRNA
Rfam family: Bacterial small subunit ribosomal RNA
Source: RNAcentral
GGGCUCACACAAGCGGUGGAGCAUGUGGUUCAAUUCGAAGCAACGCGCAGAACCUUACCUGGGCUUGACAUGCUAGGAUUAUCCCUAUGAAAGUAGGGUAGGCCCUUCGGGGUACAACUAGUACAGGUGCUGCAUGGCUGUCGUCAGCUCGUGUCGUGAGAUGUCGGGUUAAGUCCCUUAACGAGCGAAACCUUUGCCCUUAGUUACCAUCGGGUUAUGCCGGGGACUCUAAGGGGACUGCCGGUGUCAAACCGGAGGAAGGUGGAGAUGACGUCAAGUCCUCAUGGCCUUUAUGCCCAGGGCCACACACGUGCUACAAUGGCGUUCACAAAGCGACCCUAAAGCGCGAGCUCAUGGAAAUCGCAGAAAUAACGCCCCAGUUCAGAUAGGAGGCUGCAACUCGCCUCCUUGAAGUUGGAAUCGCUAGUAAUCGCGGAUCAGCUACGCCGCGGUGAAUGUGUUCCUGAGCCUU